ACUUGUGCAAGAGCAGGUGCCUUUUGAAUGCCCAGCAUUUAUACAGGCUUUCCUACUUAUAGCCAGCAUUAACUGGAUCACCGGCAGAAGGCAUGUUACUAAAGAAAGGUGUCCGGUGAGGGACAGCCACCCGGGCCAGCAAGGCAGCAGGAAGGAGCCUCUCCGCCCGUGUGCUCGGCUUUCGUUAGGUUAAUGCCAAUUUCCUGGGCUGGAGGCCCCAUGCUCAGGAUUAUCUGGUUAUUAUUUAGGUAACUGCUUCAACAGAAUGAAAUGAGGACAUUUCAAGCCCUGUUGCUGGCUCUGCUAUUCCCUGAUACCUAUGUAGGCCACACCGGGAGCAUCCCCCGCUCCUUCUUGAAAUGCCUCUCUCCCACCAAUGACACAGGGAGGGCACAGUCCCUGCCCCGUCCCAGGGCUGGGGUACCCACUGCGGGCUUCAGCAGCAGCCAGGAUCCCGGCUGGCAGCUGGGGAAGGAGGCAGAGGUGCCGCACUCCCCACGAACGGAUGUUUUGCAACACGCAAAACCUCCUUACGUGCUUGCACAGCUCACAGCAUUUCUCCGCAACUCGGGACUUCAUCUUUUCAUACCACUCCCACCCCCAAAACCUCACGGCUCCGGGCACAAGACGGAUGCAACCGACAGCUGGAGAGAAAAAUCUGCUCUCUAGAAAUCAGCACGCGUGCUGCUUUCGCAUAAAGCUGGCUCCAGCAGUGCUGGAGUCAGUGCUCCAGUCAGCGCUCCAGUCAGCUCCUUUCCAGCAUCCCCAGCCCGGGACCAGAGCUGGGACCUGACCCCCUGCUCAGCGAUGCGGGGACCCCCCUUUUUGUUCAGCGCCUCGGCCGCCUCUGUUGAAAUCCCACCGUGGGAAGACAAAAGCUGAACGGUUCCUACGGCAAGGGGCACACGGGAAACACCGAAGAGAGCCGGCUCUCGGUUCAGCUCGCUAAAACUUCACCGUAAAAAUCCCCACGGCACGCAGCAGCCCGGCGUGCAUCGUGCCACGAAGUGUCAGAAAGAACCCGGCCCCUGUGGCAAGCCAACCCGGGCGCAAAAAGAACCGAAAGCCGCUUGUUACCGCCGGCAGAAAAUCCCUUUGGAGCCUCGACCGGCUCUCGCAGGGGGACGGCCGACUCCUUCACGGAGAGCAGCGGUUGUAAAAUCGCUAGAAACUGACUUGUUAAUUCAUCGUCAGUGAAUUUAUGGCCCCUCGGAUGCCCAAGAGCCCUGGAAAGUGAAGCUCUGUGCUAGGCAAGGCACAACCAUUUUGUAACAGCGCUGCAAAAUGCCCUAAAGGAAUGUACUCAGCUCGGGGACUUCGUAGCAUCCCGCUCCAGCCCUAGUGAGGUUUCCCUAACAGUUAUUUCAUGAGGGGAUCAAGCACGGAGGCUCACAGACCCCUGCCAGGGUGCAGAAGGGGGAAUUCAGCUGGAGCACAUUUAGGAGUCAACUAAAUUGCACAGACACCGCAACCAUCACACGCAAACCCCGGCAGCAUUGGUGGUGGCUUCCCCUAUGGACUCACCUCCCCUCUCCAAUUCUGUAUCCACCAGAGGACAUGGGAGGUGGGAAACCUCUGGGCACCUGAAACACAGGGGCUAAAGCUGAAGGUAGAAGUAUGUGGUGCUUUGCAGCUACUGCACAAGGACUGUCUAAAGUGUCUAACCUUAGUCUUCACAUCUGAUGCUCUCUGAAAAGCACUGGAGCCCAAGAGUUCUCCGUCUCUCUCUGAGAUCUUGUUUGCUCCCAAAUGCCUAGAAAUAAACAUUUCUGGUAAGGAGAAGAGAAACCCCACUGCCAGAAUAUGGGUGGGCUGCUUCUCCCACCCAGGUCCAGCACCCUCUCCAAAUUGCUGCCUUGGGAACAGCAGACAGCAACAAAUUCCAACAGCAAAAGCUGACAGCGCUGCAAAGCUGAUGGGACUGAUGGGAUCCCGUCGGGAACCGUCUGUGCCCACAGACACCGAAAUCACCAUCUGGUACUUUCGCAUGGGCCACCUGGGGAACCCCCUCAGCCAGGAGGGCUGCAGCGCUGGAUUGCAGUGCCGCCAAGAUGCCGGGGAGCGGGCAGGGACAGCCCCGAACCCAGCCGAGACCUCGAGGCACAGUUAUAACACACAGAGCCAUGCGAUCAGCUGAGACAUCCUUGAUUUGUGGCUGACUCUCUUCCCCACAAGAUUUUAUCCCAUGCCCUGCUGCUUGUAAGCCAAGAGAAUUAUGUUCUUCAUUAAUUUAAAGUCUGAGCCCUCUAGGUUUAAAAAGAGUCUUGUAGAAAUACCAAGUAUUUGCCGAUCCCUUUAUUCCUCAUUGUGAUAAUAAAUCUUGUUCCUUUUCCAUCAGAGAACAAAUAAACAGGGGAAAGUCUCCUGAGAGCCGAAGACUUACUAGGGUCUUAAAAGCAAAUAAUUUUCUUCACAAGGUAAGAGAAAUAUCACCAGCUUCUUCACAGUGUAAAUAACCCCAGGUGAUAGAGCCAGAAGCGAUGCUCCGGGGAGCAGCGUGCCUUGAGUGUUUCAGCCGCUUCCCCUCGGGCGCUGUGGUCCCAUUACAUUUUCAUAUCACGGCUACCUUCUUGGUGGGGAGGGACUCUGGGUUGGAGACAUUUGCACCAUAUUUAUUUGUUCCUAGUGAGCAAAAGCCUGCUGGUUACAGACUCUUUUAACUCCUCAGUGUAGUUAUCACCUAAAUACAUGUCCCCCAAGCUCCAAGGCUGUCGGGUAGGAAGGAGGAUGGUGUCAGCCCCAUCCUGGAUCAGUACCCUGGUGAUGGGGAGGUUGGCCCCAGCCCACCCAGCCCUCCCGUGGCGGCUGCUCACCCUUUCUGUCUGCCCUCUGGGUA
Molecule: long non-coding RNA, 2836 nt
Organism: Harpia harpyja (harpy eagle)
Lineage: Eukaryota; Metazoa; Chordata; Aves; Accipitriformes; Accipitridae
Exons: 3
Source: RefSeq, a predicted model, not a curated record